UACAGAGGGGGCAAGCGUUGUUCGGAAUUACUGGGCGUAAAGCGCACGUAGGCGGAUUGUUAAGUCAGGGGUGAAAUCCUGGAGCUCAACUCCAGAACUGCCUUUGAUACUGGCGAUCUCGAGUCCGGGAGAGGUGAGUGGAACUGCGAGUGUAGAGGUGAAAUUCGUAGAUAUUCGCAAGAACACCAGUGGCGAAGGCGGCUCACUGGCCCGGUACUGACGCUGAGGUGCGAAAGCUAGGGGAGCGAACAGG
This 253-nucleotide ribosomal RNA is filed under the name uncultured bacterium. RNAcentral's name for it is "partial 16S ribosomal RNA". It matches the Rfam family "Bacterial small subunit ribosomal RNA", at positions 524 to 776 of the family's 1533-position model. The record is from RNAcentral.